AGAUUGAACGCUGACGGCAGGCCUAACACAUGCAAGUCGAGCGGUAGAGAGGUGCUUGCACCUCUUGAGAGCGGCGGACGGGUGAGUAAUGCCUAGGAAUCUGCCUAGUGGUGGGGGAUAACGUUCGGAAACGGACGCUAAUACCGCAUACGUCCUACGGGAGAAAGCGGGGGACCUUCGGGCCUCGCGCCAUUAGAUGAGCCUAGGUCGGAUUAGCUAGUUGGUGAGGUAAUGGCUCACCAAGGCGACGAUCCGUAACUGGUCUGAGAGGAUGAUCAGUCACACUGGAACUGAGACACGGUCCAGACUCCUACGGGAGGCAGCAGUGGGGAAUAUUGGACAAUGGGCGAAAGCCUGAUCCAGCCAUGCCGCGUGUGUGAAGAAGGUCUUCGGAUUGUAAAGCACUUUAAGUGGAGGAAGGUUGUAACUUAAUACGUUGACUAAUUUGACGUUACCGACAGAAUAAGCACCGGCUAACUUCGUGCCAGCAGCCG
Molecule: ribosomal RNA, 494 nt
Filed under: uncultured soil bacterium
Lineage: Bacteria
Description: bacterial SSU rRNA
Rfam family: Bacterial small subunit ribosomal RNA
Source: RNAcentral